CGCACGGGCGAGUAACACGUAUCCAACCUGCCGUCUACUCUUGGCCAGCCUUCUGAAAGGAAGAUUAAUCCAGGAUGGCAUCAUGAGUUCACAUGUCCGCAUGAUUAAAGGUAUUUUCCGGUAGACGAUGGGGAUGCGUUCCAUUAGAUAGUAGGCGGGGUAACGGCCCACCUAGUCAACGAUGGAUAGGGGUUCUGAGAGGAAGGUCCCCCACAUUGGAACUGAGACACGGUCCAA
This 237-nucleotide ribosomal RNA is filed under the name uncultured bacterium. RNAcentral describes it as "partial 16S ribosomal RNA". It matches the Rfam family "Bacterial small subunit ribosomal RNA", at positions 99 to 334 of the family's 1533-position model. The record is from RNAcentral.